This 468-nucleotide ribosomal RNA is filed under the name uncultured bacterium. RNAcentral's name for it is "partial 16S ribosomal RNA". It matches the Rfam family "Bacterial small subunit ribosomal RNA", at positions 28 to 507 of the family's 1533-position model. The record is from RNAcentral.
GACGAACGCUGGCGGCGUGCUUAACACAUGCAAGUCGAACGGAAAGGCCCUGCUUUUGUGGGGUGCUCGAGUGGCGAACGGGUGAGUAACACGUGAGUAACCUGCCCUUGACUUUGGGAUAACUUCAGGAAACUGGGGCUAAUACCGGAUCGGAUCUCCUGCUGCAUGGUGGGGGUUGGAAAGUUUCGGCGGUUGGGGAUGGACUCGCGGCUUAUCAGCUUGUUGGUUGGGUAGUGGCUUACCAAGGCUUUGACGGGUCGCCGGCCUGAGAGGGUGACCGGCCACAUUGGGACUGAGAUACGGCCCAGACUCCUACGGGAGGCAGCAGUGGGGAAUAUUGCACAAUGGGCGGAAGCCUGAUGCAGCAACGCCGCGUGCGGGAUGACGGCCUUCGGGUUGUAAACCGCUUUCGCCUGUGACGAAGCGUGAGUGACGGUAAUGGGUAAAGAAGCACCGGCUAACUACGCG